CAGAACGAACGCUGGCGGCAUGCCUAACACAUGCAAGUCGAACGAGACCUUCGGGUCUAGUGGCGCACGGGUGCGUAACGCGUGGGAAUCUGCCCUUGGGUUCGGAAUAACUUCGGGAAACUGAAGCUAAUACCGGAUGAUGACGUAAGUCCAAAGAUUUAUCGCCCAAGGAUGAGCCCGCGUAGGAUUAGCUAGUUGGUGAGGUAAAGGCUCACCAAGGCGACGAUCCUUAGCUGGUCUGAGAGGAUGAUCAGCCACACUGGGACUGAGACACGGCCCAGACUCCUACGGGAGGCAGCAGUGGGGAAUUUUGGACAAUGGGCGAAAGCCUGAUCCAGCAAUGCCGCGUGCAGGAAGAAGGCCUUCGGGUUGUAAACUGCUUUGUACGGAACGAAACGGUGAGCUCUAAUACAGUUUGCUAAUGACGGUACCGUAAGAAUAAGCACCGGCUAACUACGUG
RNAcentral lists this ribosomal RNA (460 nucleotides) under uncultured bacterium. RNAcentral describes it as "bacterial SSU rRNA". It matches the Rfam family "Bacterial small subunit ribosomal RNA", at positions 25 to 507 of the family's 1533-position model. The record is from RNAcentral.